GACGAACGCUGGCGGCGUGCUUAACACAUGCAAGUCGAGCGAGAGAAAUUCCUUCGGGAAUGGAUUAGCGGCGGACGGGUGAGUAACACGUGGGUAACCUGCCUCAUAGAGGGGAAUAGCCUUUCGAAAGGAAGAUUAAUACCGCAUAAGAUUGUAGUAUCGCAUGAUACAGCAAUUAAAGGAGUAAUCCGCUAUGAGAUGGACCCGCGUCGCAUUAGCUAGUUGGUGAGGUAACGGCUCACCAAGGCGACGAUGCGUAGCCGACCUGAGAGGGUGAUCGGCCACAUUGGGACUGAGACACGGCCCAGACUCCUACGGGAGGCAGCAGUGGGGAAUAUUGCACAAUGGGGGAAACCCUGAUGCAGCAACGCCGCGUGAGUGAUGACGGUCUUCGGAUUGUAAAACUCUGUCUUCAGGGACGAUAAUGACGGUACCUGAGGAGGAAGCCACGGCUAACUACGUGCCAGCCGCCGCCGUAA
This 479-nucleotide ribosomal RNA is filed under the name uncultured bacterium. Its description in RNAcentral is "partial 16S ribosomal RNA". It matches the Rfam family "Bacterial small subunit ribosomal RNA", at positions 28 to 523 of the family's 1533-position model. The record is from RNAcentral.